AACGCACAUUGCGCCCGCCAGCACUCUGGCGGGCAUGCCUGCUCGAGUGUCAUUUUGACAAUUAGGCUUGUUGCUUAUUCGGCCUAUGUUGGGGUUCUGCGAAUGCAUGCAGGCCCUGAAAACCAGUGGCAGACUUGCGGUUGCUCCGAGCGUAGUAACAGGUAUCUCGCUUCGGAAGGCGCCUUGAGACUCUUGGCUAUUUAAAACACACGCUGUGCAUUGGGGAUAAUCUAUCCCUUGCUCAAGCUUGACCUCGGAUUAGGUAGGAGGACCCGCUGAACUUAA
RNAcentral lists this unclassified non-coding RNA (285 nucleotides) under uncultured Sordariomycetes. Its description in RNAcentral is "sequence contains 5.8S rRNA gene, ITS2, 28S rRNA gene". Lineage: Eukaryota; Fungi; Ascomycota; Sordariomycetes. The record is from RNAcentral.